GAUGAAGAACGCAGCGAAAUGCGAUAAGUAGUGUGAAUUGCAGAAUUCAGUGAAUCAUCGAAUCUUUGAACGCACAUUGCGCCCCUUGGUAUUCCAUGGGGCAUGCCUGUUCGAGCGUCAUUUGUACCUUCAAGCUUUGCUUGGUGUUGGGUGUUUGUCUCGCCUUUGCGUGUAGACUCGCCUUAAAAUAAUUGGCAGCCGGCGUAUUGAUUUCGGAGCGCAGUACAUCUCGCGCUUUGCACUCAUAACGACAGCGUCCAAAAGUACAUUUUACACUCUUGACGUCGGAUCAGGUAGGGAUACCCGCUGAACUUAAGCAUAUCAAUAAGCGGAGGA
RNAcentral lists this unclassified non-coding RNA (336 nucleotides) under soil metagenome. RNAcentral's name for it is "partial contains 5.8S ribosomal RNA, internal transcribed spacer 2, and large subunit ribosomal RNA". The stretch from base 1 to 120 matches the Rfam family "5.8S ribosomal RNA", at positions 35 to 154 of the family's 154-position model. The record is from RNAcentral.